GAUGAACGCUGGCGGCGUGCUUAACACAUGCAAGUCGAACGGAAAGGCUCCUGCUUGCAGGGGUACUCGAGUGGCGAACGGGUGAGUAACACGUGGGUGAUCUGCCCUGCACUUCGGGAUAAGCCUGGGAAACUGGGUCUAAUACCGGAUAGGACGAUGGUUUGGAUGCCAUUGUGGAAAGUUUUUCGGUGUGGGAUGAGCUCGCGGCCUAUCAGCUUGUUGGUGGGGUAAUGGCCUACCAAGGCGUCGACGGGUAGCCGGCCUGAGAGGGUGUACGGCCACAUUGGGACUGAGAUACGGCCCAGACUCCUACGGGAGGCAGCAGUGGGGAAUAUUGCACAAUGGGCGCAAGCCUGAUGCAGCGACGCCGCGUGGGGGAUGACGGCCUUCGGGUUGUAAACUCCUUUCGCUAGGGACGAAGCGCAAGCGACGGUACCUGGAGAAGAAGCACCGGCUAACUACGUG
Molecule: ribosomal RNA, 465 nt
Filed under: uncultured bacterium
Lineage: Bacteria
Description: partial 16S ribosomal RNA
Rfam family: Bacterial small subunit ribosomal RNA
Source: RNAcentral